Molecule: ribosomal RNA, 304 nt
Filed under: uncultured eukaryote
Lineage: Eukaryota
Description: partial 18S ribosomal RNA
Rfam family: Eukaryotic small subunit ribosomal RNA
Source: RNAcentral
CCCUUAGAUAUCCUAGGCUGCACGCGAGCUACAAUGGUAUAUAUAAAAGGUUGCUGCUCUGAGAAGACUGGCAAUACCCUGAUAUAUAUCGUAUUUGGAAUAGAUUUUUGUAAUUAUCAAUCUUGAACGAGGAAUUCCUAGUAAAAAUAUUUCAUCAUAAUGUUUUGAUUGUGUCCCUGCCCUUUGUACACACCGCCCGUCGCUCCUACCGAUUGAAUAUUCCGGUGAGAAGAUAGGAGAAAAAUCUUUUGAUUUUUUGAAUAUUUUUGAACCUUGAUAUUUAGAGGAAGGAGAANUCGUANCA